GACGGAGGAUGCAAGCGUUAUCCGGAAUGAUUGGGCGUAAAGCGUCCGCAGGUGGCAGUUCAAGUCUGCUGUCAAAGACCGGGGCUUAACUUCGGAAAGGCAGUGGAAACUGAACAGCUAGAGUAUGGUAGGGGCAGAGGGAAUUCCUGGUGUAGCGGUGAAAUGCGCAGAUAUCAGGAGGAACACCGGUGGCGAAGGCGGGUCUCUGGGCAAUAACUGACGCUGAGGAGCGAAAGCGUGGGGAGCGAACAGG
RNAcentral lists this ribosomal RNA (253 nucleotides) under uncultured bacterium. Its description in RNAcentral is "partial 16S ribosomal RNA". It matches the Rfam family "Bacterial small subunit ribosomal RNA", at positions 524 to 776 of the family's 1533-position model. The record is from RNAcentral.